GACGGAGGAGGCAAGCGUUAUCCGGAAUUACUGGGCGUAAAGCGUGCGCAGGCGGUCUUUUAAGCCAGAUGUGAAAUCCCCGGGCUUAACCUGGGAACUGCGUUUGGAACUGGAAGGCUAGAGUACGGCAGAGGGGGGUGGAAUUCCACGUGUAGCAGUGAAAUGCGUAGAGAUGUGGAGGAACACCGAUGGCGAAGGCAGCCCCCUGGGCCUGUACUGACGCUCAUGCACGAAAGCGUGGGGAGCAAACAGG
Molecule: ribosomal RNA, 253 nt
Filed under: uncultured bacterium
Lineage: Bacteria
Description: partial 16S ribosomal RNA
Rfam family: Bacterial small subunit ribosomal RNA
Source: RNAcentral